UACGGAGGGGGCUAGCGUUGUUCGGAAUGACUGGGCGUAAAGCGCGCGUAGGCGGGCUGGAAAGUCAGGGGUGAAAUCCCGGGGCUCAACCCUGGAAUGGCCUUUGAAACUCCCAGCCUUGAGUUCGAGAGAGGUGAGUGGAAUUCCGAGUGUAGAGGUGAAACUCGUAGAUAUUCGGAGGAACACCAGUGGCGAAGGCGGCUCACUGGCUCGACACUGACGCUGAGGUGCGAAAGCGUGGGGAGCAAACAGG
RNAcentral lists this ribosomal RNA (253 nucleotides) under uncultured bacterium. Its description in RNAcentral is "partial 16S ribosomal RNA". It matches the Rfam family "Bacterial small subunit ribosomal RNA", at positions 524 to 776 of the family's 1533-position model. The record is from RNAcentral.